RNAcentral lists this ribosomal RNA (156 nucleotides) under uncultured Chlamydiales bacterium. RNAcentral describes it as "partial 16S ribosomal RNA". It matches the Rfam family "Bacterial small subunit ribosomal RNA", at positions 309 to 464 of the family's 1533-position model. The record is from RNAcentral. Lineage: Bacteria; Pseudomonadati; Chlamydiota; Chlamydiia; Chlamydiales.
AACACUGGGACUGAGACACUGCCCAGACUCCUACGGGAGGCUGCAGUCGAGAAUCAUUCGCAAUGGGCGAAAGCCUGACGAUGCGACGCCGUGUGAACGAUGAAGGCCUUCGGGUUGUAAAGUUCUUUCGCUUGGGAACAAGAGAUGUUAUCUAAU